GACGUAGGGCGCGAGCGUGUCCGGAUUUAUUGGGCGUAAAGAGCUCGUAGGCGGCUUGUCGCGUCGAAUGUGAAAUCUCAGGGCUCAACUCUGACAUUGCAUUCGAUACGGGCAGGCUCGAGUUCGGUAGGGGAGACUGGAAUUCCUGGUGUAGCGGUGAAAUGCGCAGAUAUCAGGAGGAACACCGGUGGCGAAGGCGGGUCUCUGGGCCGAUACUGACGCUGAGGAGCGAAAGCGUGGGGAGCGAACAGG
RNAcentral lists this ribosomal RNA (252 nucleotides) under uncultured bacterium. RNAcentral's name for it is "partial 16S ribosomal RNA". It matches the Rfam family "Bacterial small subunit ribosomal RNA", at positions 524 to 776 of the family's 1533-position model. The record is from RNAcentral.